CCGUUCAAUACUGCGGAGCUCGAGGGCAGAAGAGGGGGGUGGAAUUGCUGGUGUAGUGGUGAAAUGCGUAGAUAUCAGCAGGAACACCUGUGGCGAAAGCGGCCCCCUGGUCCGCUCCUGACACUCAGACGCGAAAGCUAGGGGAGUGAACGGGAUUAGAAACCCCGGUAAUCCUAGCCGUAAACGAUGGAUGCUAGGUGUGGGUGGUAUUGACCCCAUCCGUGCCGAAGCCAACGCGUUAAGCAUCCCGCCUGGGGACUACGGCCGCAAGGUUAAAACUCAAAGGAAUUGACGGGGACCCGUACAAGCAGCGGAGCGUGUGGUUUAAUUCGAAGCUACACGAAGAACCUUACCCAGGUUUGACAUGCAGGUAGUAGUGAAGCGAAAGCGGAACGAUCCUUCGGGAAGCCUGCACAGGUGCUGCAUGGCUGUCGUCAGCUCGUGCCGUGAGGUGUUUGGUUAAGUCCACUAACGAGCGCAACCCCUGUCGUCAGUUACAUGUGUCUGGCGAGACUGCCGGUCUUAAACCGGAGGAAGGUGGGGAUGACGUCAAGUCAGCAUGGCCUUUAUAUCUGGG
This 577-nucleotide ribosomal RNA is filed under the name uncultured bacterium. RNAcentral describes it as "bacterial SSU rRNA". It matches the Rfam family "Bacterial small subunit ribosomal RNA", at positions 623 to 1212 of the family's 1533-position model. The record is from RNAcentral.